GGAUCCAGACUUUGAUUCUGGCUCAGGAUGAACGCUAGCUACAGGCUUAACACAUGCAAGUCGAGGGGAAACGACAUCGAAAGCUUGCUUUUGAUGGGCGUCGACCGGCGCACGGGUGAGUAACGCGUAUCCAACCUGCCCAUCACUUGGGGAUAACCUUGCGAAAGUAAGACUAAUACCCAAUGACGUCUCUAGAAGACAUCUGAAAGAGAUUAAAGAUUUAUCGGUGAUGGAUGGGGAUGCGUCUGAUUAGCUUGUUGGCGGGGUAACGGCCCACCAAGGCAACGAUCAGUAGGGGUUCUGAGAGGAAGGUCCCCCACAUUGGAACUGAGACACGGUCCAAACUCCUACGGGAGGCAGCAGUGAGGAAUAUUGGUCAAUGGGCGAGAGCCUGAACCAGCCAAGUAGCGUGCAGGAUGACGGCCCUAUGGGUUGUAAACUGCUUUUAUAAGGGAAUAAAGUGAGUCUCGUGAGACUUUUUGCAUGUACCUUAUGAAUAAGGACCGGCUAAUUCCGUGCCAGCAGCCGCGGUAAUACGGAAGGUCCGGGCGUUAUCCGGAUUUAUUGGGUUUAAAGGGAGCGUAGGCCGGAGAUUAAGCGUGUUGUGAAAUGUAGACGCUCAACGUCUGCACUGCAGCGCGAACUGGUUUCCUUGAGUACGCACAAAGUGGGCGGAAUUCGUGGUGUAGCGGUGAAAUGCUUAGAUAUCACGAAGAACUCCGAUUGCGAAGGCAGCUCACUGGAGCGCAACUGACGCUGAAGCUCGAAAGUGCGGGUAUCGAACAGGAUUAGAUACCCUGGUAGUCCGCACGGUAAACGAUGGAUGCCCGCUGUUGGUCUGAAUAGGUCAGCGGCCAAGCGAAAGCAUUAAGCAUCCCACCUGGGGAGUACGCCGGCAACGGUGAAACUCAAAUGAAUUGACGG
Molecule: ribosomal RNA, 924 nt
Filed under: uncultured bacterium
Lineage: Bacteria
Description: bacterial SSU rRNA
Rfam family: Bacterial small subunit ribosomal RNA
Source: RNAcentral